Molecule: long non-coding RNA, 773 nt
Filed under: Pan paniscus (pygmy chimpanzee)
Lineage: Eukaryota; Metazoa; Chordata; Mammalia; Primates; Hominidae
Description: lncRNA (ENSPPAG00000045403.1)
Source: RNAcentral
AGGACAUCAUCACAUGCUCAGACUUCUAAAACAUUUCGUGGAAGAGAGUAGACUGUUUACCGGAUGCCCUUUUAUUUUUGCCGUGCAGGAUUAGUACCUUCUACUUCCUUAAAUGUAGGCAAAUAAAAUUACGGAGAAAUAAAAUGACUGCAGCCUUUGAGCGCUGGUUUGUCCUAGGACAAUCGGAUUUCACCGGGUCGGGGAAGGUGUGAUUAUGAAAAUAAACAAGGGAAGUGAGGGAAAUAUAACCAAGUGGAAAAAGGAAAUGGAGUGCAAAUUGAGAACAUAAUCCAGAAUUUGUAAAAGUGGUAUGGAUAAAGAAGGUCAAAAUGGUCUCUGAUGAAAAGAAACUUUUAAAAUGCUUGGAAAAGUUAAUGAAUUAGAUUUCCCUGCACUUGAAGAUAUUAGGAUUGGGAGAUCAAGACUCCCAUCAGCCAAAUCAAGAAUAUUCACAAUUGACAGGAAAACUCAAAGUUUCUUUUUCCCCACCAGAGAAAUGUCUCCCACCACCAUAGCUAAACAGUGGGCAGCCUUUUGAGUCUAGAAAGGCAAGUUUUCGAAUUGUGCUCUGGAGGUGAAAAAGAAAUGAUUUCAGAAUAGUGAACAUUUGCAAAUAAAAAUGUGUCUACUAUGCAAUGAAGAAUUUUAAAUUUGCAGUGAAAGUCUGACAUCUGGUGGUCAGAAAGAGGAGCAUCAGAAGAGGAGGCUAUUGUAAAAUUUCUGUUGGCUUUCAUAAAAUAAAAACCAAAUUAAAACGUACAAGAAAUUCUUCC